Molecule: transfer RNA, 69 nt
Filed under: candidate division WWE3 bacterium RIFOXYB1_FULL_42_27
Lineage: Bacteria; candidate division WWE3
Description: tRNA-Asp
Rfam family: tRNA
About the family: Transfer RNA (tRNA) molecules are approximately 80 nucleotides in length. Their secondary structure includes four short double-helical elements and three loops (D, anti-codon, and T loops). Further hydrogen bonds mediate the characteristic L-shaped molecular structure. tRNAs have two regions of fundamental functional importance: the anti-codon, which is responsible for specific mRNA codon recognition, and the 3' end, to which the tRNAs corresponding amino acid is attached (by aminoacyl-tRNA synthetases). tRNAs cope with the degeneracy of the genetic code in two manners: having more than one tRNA (with a specific anti-codon) for a particular amino acid; and 'wobble' base-pairing, i.e. permitting non-standard base-pairing at the 3rd anti-codon position.
Source: RNAcentral
GGGGUCGUAGCUCAGUCGGUUAGAGCGCCGCACUGUCACUGCGGAGGCCGCCGAAUGAAGGAGGUUCGU